GAUGAACGCUGGCGGCGUGCCUAAUACAUGCAAGUCGAGCGAACGGACGAGAAGCUUGCUUCUCUGAUGUUAGCGGCGGACGGGUGAGUAACACGUGGAUAACCUACCUAUAAGACUGGGAUAACUUCGGGAAACCGGAACUAAUACCGGAUGAUAUUUUGAACCGCAUGGUUCAAAAGUGAAAGACGGUCUUGCUGUCACUUAUAGAUGGAUCCGCGCUGCAUUAGCUAGUUGGUAAGGUAACGGCUUACCAAGGCAACGAUGCAUAGCCGACCUGAGAGGGUGAUCGGCCACACUGGAACUGAGACACGGUCCAGACUCCUACGGGAGGCCGCAGUAGGGAAUCUUCCGCAAUGGGCGAAUGCCUGACGGAGCAACGCCGCGUGAGUGAUGAAGGUCUUCGGAUCGUAAAACUCUGUUAUUAGGGAAGAACAUAUGUGUAAGUAACUGUGCACAUCUUGACGGUACCUAAUCAGAAAGCCACGGCUAACUACGUG
Molecule: ribosomal RNA, 497 nt
Filed under: uncultured bacterium
Lineage: Bacteria
Description: partial 16S ribosomal RNA
Rfam family: Bacterial small subunit ribosomal RNA
Source: RNAcentral